Small nuclear RNA from Suncus etruscus (white-toothed pygmy shrew), 103 nucleotides. The record is from RefSeq and is a predicted model, not a curated record. NCBI's taxonomy places the organism in Eukaryota, Metazoa, Chordata, Mammalia, Eulipotyphla, Soricidae.
UCACUUUGGCAAUGCAUAUGCUAAAAUUGGAAUGAUUCAGAGAAUAUUAGUAUGGUCCCUGUGCAAAAAUGACUCAAAAAUUCUUGAAGCAUUUUGUACUUUU